GGUGCAUUAGCAGGAAGCUAGAUCAAAAGUGGAGCAGCCAGGAGUCAGACUGGCGCUCACAUGGGAUGCUGGUGUUGCAGCAAAUCAUGGAAACCGGAAUUCCUGUUCCUCAAGGUGGCCCUGCCUCACCAACUGUCUGCUAUUCCCGCCAGGAACUGUGGUACCCGAGCAAGUGCAAACAAAGGAGCACCAUACAUUGAUAAAAUCUGAUGGUCCUUUAUUGCCAGCAGUGGAGAGUGGGCUCAUGCCCUCAAGAACUCUCGACCCUGAAGCCCAAAGUAACAGGGUUUAUAAAGGCAAAAACCACCAAAUUGGGAGGGGAAUUCAUGGUUACCGGGGUCAAGCUGACCUAAAACCUAUG
This is a long non-coding RNA of Lepus europaeus (European hare), 361 nucleotides long. RefSeq lists it as uncharacterized. The transcript has 3 exons. Lineage: Eukaryota; Metazoa; Chordata; Mammalia; Lagomorpha; Leporidae. The record is from RefSeq and is a predicted model, not a curated record.